This 240-nucleotide unclassified non-coding RNA is filed under the name soil metagenome. Its description in RNAcentral is "partial contains 5.8S ribosomal RNA, internal transcribed spacer 2, and large subunit ribosomal RNA". The record is from RNAcentral.
AACAUCGCGCACCUGCGGGAACCUGCGGAGGGAUCAUUACAGAGUUGCAAAACUCCCUAAACCAUUGUGAACGUUACCUAAACCGUUGCUUCGGCGGGCGGCCCGGGUCCUUCCCGGCGCCCCUCGGCCCUCGCGGGCGCCCGCCGGAGGUAAACCAAACUAUUGCAUUGUAUGGCCUCUCUGAGUCUUCUGUACUGAAUAAGUCAAAACUUUUAACAAUGGAUCUCAGAUCGGAAGAGC